UACAGAGGGGGCAAGCGUUGUUCGGAAUUACUGGGCGUAAAGUGCGCGUAGGCGGCCGCCUAAGUCAGACGUGAAAUCCCUCGGCUCAACCGGGGAACUGCGUCUGAUACUGGGUGGCUUGAAUCCGGGAGAGGGAUGCGGAAUUCCAGGUGUAGCGGUGAGAUGCGUAGAUAUGACAUAGAACACCAAUUGCGAAGGCAGCUUACUACAUAGUUAUUGACACUGAGGCACGAAAGCGUGGGGAUCAAACAGG
Molecule: ribosomal RNA, 253 nt
Filed under: uncultured bacterium
Lineage: Bacteria
Description: partial 16S ribosomal RNA
Rfam family: Bacterial small subunit ribosomal RNA
Source: RNAcentral